UACGUAGGGGGCAAGCGUUGUCCGGAUUUAUUGGGCGUAAAGAGCGUGUAGGCGGUUUGGUAGGUCCGUUGUGAAAACUCGAGGCUCAACCUCGAGACGCCGAUGGAAACCAUCAGACUAGAGUCCGGAAGAGGAGAGUGGAAUUCCUGGUGUAGCGGUGAAAUGCGCAGAUAUCAGGAAGAACACCCGUGGCUAAGGCGGUUCUCUGGGCCUGUACUGACGCUGAGGAGCGAAAGCGUGGGGAGCGAACAGG
RNAcentral lists this ribosomal RNA (253 nucleotides) under uncultured bacterium. Its description in RNAcentral is "partial 16S ribosomal RNA". It matches the Rfam family "Bacterial small subunit ribosomal RNA", at positions 524 to 776 of the family's 1533-position model. The record is from RNAcentral.